AUGCACCUCGGGUAUCUCAUCCUCGCUGCCUUCCUGAGCCAACCACUGGGCACCAUGGGGCAGACCACCAUCACCCAGCAAGAAGGACAAGUCACAGUAGAGGAGAAAGACACCUUCCAGACCACCUGCACCUACCAAAGCUCCAGGCCUAAUGCCCUGCUUUGGUACCAGCAGAGGAAAGGCCAAGCUCCCCAGCUGCUCUCGUCUCAGGCAGCAGCUGGCCACAAGCCGAGCGGCCGUCUCACCACAUCGCUGAACACCACAGGGAAAUACAGCCUCCUGCAGCUGGAGGAAGUCGAGGUCUCUGACAGUGCCUUGUACCUCUGUGCUGUGCAAGACACCCUGGUAUUCCUGCAGGCCUGUCUCUUAGAGCACCUGCUCUGGGAUGUGUCCCUCCGAGGUCAGAGUUCAAAGUAA
Non-coding RNA from Gymnogyps californianus (California condor), 417 nucleotides. The record is from the annotation of a RefSeq genome assembly. Lineage: Eukaryota; Metazoa; Chordata; Aves; Accipitriformes; Cathartidae.